AACCCCGCCGCUCCCUUUUAUGGAGGCUCAUUGUCAGCGUCCGUCCGGCAGUCCCGCCUCCAGACCAGGCUGGCCAAUCACGUGAGGACACGCCCCCUAGCCCCGCCCCAGCCACAGGUCUGGGCCAGAACCCUGUGCAGCGCGUUUGUCUCUGGCCGGUUUGCUCGGCGGCGAAGCCUGGAGUUUUCCUGGGAGCGGCGCCGGCAGCCUUGGAGACCCGGUAGGGCAUCCCCACCAAUGGCUGGAGGAAAGGGCUGCUCGGCAUCUUACUUCUUGGCUUUCCCCUGACUAGCUGCCUGCCUGGGAGGCAACACAGACGAGAAAAGACCGGUGGGGAUGUGUGAAGGAUACAUAGGCUCAGAAGUGUGGAGACAUCUCUUCUAAUUUCUUUGGGCCUCGUUCCUUUCUACUAGCACAUACGCUUUAGGGAAAGAAAAAUCACUUUGGAUCCUCCUAAACAAAGAUUCUAGAAGAUGAAGAGGACAAGAGUGGCGUGUGGGCGUGUGUAAACCGCUUCCGAUGGAUAUAAUUUACGUUAAAAACAAAACAAAACAAAAAA
This is a long non-coding RNA of Mus musculus (house mouse), 559 nucleotides long. RefSeq annotates it as RIKEN cDNA 1700105P06 gene. The record is from RefSeq and is marked validated. The transcript has a single exon. NCBI's taxonomy places the organism in Eukaryota, Metazoa, Chordata, Mammalia, Rodentia, Muridae.